Molecule: small nuclear RNA, 165 nt
Organism: Aotus nancymaae (Ma's night monkey)
Lineage: Eukaryota; Metazoa; Chordata; Mammalia; Primates; Aotidae
Gene: U1
Rfam family: U1 spliceosomal RNA
About the family: U1 is a small nuclear RNA (snRNA) component of the spliceosome (involved in pre-mRNA splicing). Its 5' end forms complementary base pairs with the 5' splice junction, thus defining the 5' donor site of an intron.
Source: Ensembl
AUUUCAACCUGGCAGGGGAGAUACCAUGAUCAUGAAGGUGGUUUUUCCCAGGGCGAGGCUUAUCCAUUGCACUCCAGAUGCGCUGACCCCUGCGAUUUCCCCAAAUGUGGGAAACUCAACUGCAUAAUUUGUGAUAGUGGGGGACUGCGUUCACACUUUCCCCUG